Molecule: long non-coding RNA, 1064 nt
Organism: Herpailurus yagouaroundi (jaguarundi)
Lineage: Eukaryota; Metazoa; Chordata; Mammalia; Carnivora; Felidae
Exons: 2
Source: RefSeq, a predicted model, not a curated record
UUAAAUCAAAUGUGGUAAUCCAAGUCUGGGUGUGAAAUAUAUUAAAAUUAGAAAAAGUGAUGACAGAUAAAAGGUUAGUGAAAAACGUGCCAAAUUAUUUCAUUAGAAAAUUGCUCUAAAGCACCAUAUUUAAACAUAGUGAGGCUAUUUUCUUCAAUUUUCCCAACGUUCAACUGGUCUUUUAAAGGUAGAUAUGUGAACAUGUAUGUGUGUAUAUAUAAGAGUGCAUAUAUAUCUCUGUAUAUAUUUAUGUGUGUGUAUUUACAUUUAUGUUUUCACUGAUCGAGAAAGAGAGAGAGAAGGAAAACUACUUCUGGAGCCUGAACAGAAAACCUCAUCUGAAUUGGGAAAAAUUUAAAUCCUGUGGCUCAAACACCAAGCAUCUGCUGCUUAGUGAUAGCAUUUCCAAACUGUUGAAAUGAGAUGUACAUUUUUAAUGGAGAAACAUCUUGUGGGCUUUGAGAAAAGAGGAAAAGGAGAUCAUGAACAUUCCAUCCUACACUAAUGGUGUGAAUAAUUCCAUGAGGGGCAAGCAACGUAACAUUUCUUUGGGUUCCAAAAUGAAUCAAAGCUGACUCAGUGUCCCCAGAGAACAAACAUUUUGAGAAAUCCAAAAAAGUCACCUUCUUGGAUUACCUCCCCUUCCAUUCUUUUAACAAGAAAUCUAGAGCUAUGGUGUCCAGAGGGGAAAAAAAAAAAAGAAUGCUAGUCUAUUUUGGUCACUGACGCUCUUGACCUGUGGUACAAGAAAUGGCACCACCAUACUUCUCCUUCCAACCUCAGGCGCAGAGAUCUUCACUGAAGCUCUCAAGACUAAAACAUCUAGUGUCUGGUCUACAUGGGCAUCCACAUGGCCACCUCCAUGAGAAAUCCUGUAUCCACAAAGGUAUUGCUUUUCAGUGAAAUCAGAACCCUACUACUAACUGAAACUAACUGAAACCCCAACUCACUUCCCAGUGCUCAAGUAUCCAGCCAAUAUCCCAGAAUUCCUUCCAUUUUCCCCUUGAGUCCUUUCCUUUCACAUCACACAAAUAAACAAAAAAUUAUUUGUAUCUGUUUGGCCA